GACGAACGCUGGCGGCGUGCUUAAACAUGCAAGUCGAACGAGCACUUCGGUGCGAGUGGCAAACGGCUGAGUAACGCGUGGGUGACCUACCUGGAAGUGGGGAAUAACUGCCCGAAAGGGUGGCUAAUACCGCAUGUGAUGACUGGACCAAUCCGGUCAUGAAAGUCUUCGGACGCUUCGAGAGGGGCCCGCGUUCGAUUAGCUAGUUGGUGGGGUAAUGGCUUACCAAGGCGACGAUCUAUAGCUGGUCUGAGAGGACGAUCAGCCACACUGGGACUGAGACACGGCCCAGACACCUACGGGUGGCUG
Molecule: ribosomal RNA, 309 nt
Filed under: uncultured Chloroflexota bacterium
Lineage: Bacteria; Bacillati; Chloroflexota
Description: bacterial SSU rRNA
Rfam family: Bacterial small subunit ribosomal RNA
Source: RNAcentral